This is a long non-coding RNA of Sarcophilus harrisii (Tasmanian devil), 1356 nucleotides long. NCBI's taxonomy places the organism in Eukaryota, Metazoa, Chordata, Mammalia, Dasyuromorphia, Dasyuridae. The record is from Ensembl.
AGGGUGCAGUGGCGGCCUUCAUCUGCACAGCAGGGGGUCCUCCUCCCAAGACACCUCCAGGACCUGGUGAGUGAUUUCUGUGUAGAACUAAAGGCAGUCGUCCCCAAAACCCCAGCUCUGAAGUCGAGCAAAGGGAAGCCGUUAGGGAAAUACUGGGACUCCUCCCUAGGGAAACAGCAUCGGGAAAGGGAGAGUUGGAGAGAAAAACUUACUGCAUUCUAGGGGUUCCUCCAUCACAUACCAGUUCCCAUCAACACUGCGGGGUUCCAGAAAACUUCAGAUGGAAAUUCUCCACAAAUUCAUGUAUGGAUCUUCCUCGGAAUAUAUCAAUGAGAAAUUCAUGGAAAUCUUCUGCAGAACAGCAGGGAGUCCUCCAGUCUAAAGUAACCCAGUCCACACGGGAGCCUCCCUGAGCAGCACAGCAGGGGUUCUCCCUACUCAGCCAGUUUGAAUCCAUUGUGGUGGGGAAGGGGAAGGGAGCCAGAGCGACAUGACAAGGGGUCUCCCUUCCAAUAUAGGUUUUGUUCGCAGAGUUCCUGGCCCUCUACUGCACAGAAUGGCAUCCUCCUUACACAGAAGCUCCAGAACAUAGACAGCCAUUCCUGUGUAGCACAAAGAGAAGUCCUCCCUAAACAACAACACUCGUCCCUGAAGGGAGGAAAUGUUUAGGAAAAUAGCCGGGGCCCUCCACAGGGAAACCUUACAUGCACAUCAAGGAGUCUUCCUUACUAAUCCCGUUCUCACCUAUAAUUUGGGGGUCUAGAGGAUGACUGAACCUCAAAAUUCUCUCUCUCUGCCUCUCUCUCUCUUCUAUAUAGAUAUAUUUACAUAGGUAAUCCUCCUAGUCAAAAAGCUGACACUUAGCUUGAGGAAUGGGGAAACUGAGGCAGCCCAGUGGGGGGUCUCCCUCCCAAGCUAGUUCUUAGCCAUUGUGGUAGGUGUGAGAAGGGAUCUGGAGGGACAAGAGUAGGGGUCUCCUUACCCACAUGGGCCUGAUUUGCAGAGGGAACAGUAGGGUCCUUUGGCUGCACAGCAGGGGGCCUCCUCCAAAGACAGCUGCAGUGCAGGGGGAACAAAGUGAAGCAGCGCAGCAGGGGUCUCCCUCCCAAGCUACAUCUUAGCCAUUGUGAGGGUGCGGUGGCGUUCUUCAGCUGCACAGCAGUGGGUUCCCUUCCAAAGACAGCUCCAGGACGUGGUGAGCAUUUUGAUCUUAUCUUGGUGUACGGCGUUAAGUGUGGGUCCCUACCUAAUUUCUGCCAUACUAAUUUUCAGUCUUCCCAGCAGUUUUUGGCAAAUAAUGAAUUCUUAUCCCAAAAGUUGGGAUCUUUUGGUUUGUCAAACACUAGACUGUUAUAG